RNAcentral lists this ribosomal RNA (254 nucleotides) under uncultured bacterium. RNAcentral's name for it is "partial 16S ribosomal RNA". It matches the Rfam family "Bacterial small subunit ribosomal RNA", at positions 524 to 777 of the family's 1533-position model. The record is from RNAcentral.
UACGUAGGGGGCUAGCGUUGCUCGGAAUCACUGGGCGUAAAGCGCACGUAGGCGGACUCUUAAGUCGGUGGUGAAAUCUUGGAGCUCAACUCCAGAACUGCCUUCGAUACUGGGAGUCUUGAGUCCGGGAGAGGUGAGUGGAACUGCGAGUGUAGAGGUGAAAUUCGUAGAUAUUCGCAAGAACACCAGUGGCGAAGGCGGCUCACUGGCCCGGUACUGACGCUGAGGUGCGAAAGCGUGGGGAGCAAACAGGA